GGCUCCAUGGUGUAGUGGUUAGCAUGUCUGCUUUACAUGCAGAAAAUCCUGGGUUCGUGCCCCAGGUGGAGCCA
Molecule: transfer RNA, 74 nt
Filed under: Pteropus alecto (black flying fox)
Lineage: Eukaryota; Metazoa; Chordata; Mammalia; Chiroptera; Pteropodidae
Rfam family: tRNA
About the family: Transfer RNA (tRNA) molecules are approximately 80 nucleotides in length. Their secondary structure includes four short double-helical elements and three loops (D, anti-codon, and T loops).
Source: Rfam by way of RNAcentral